Amphiprion ocellaris (clown anemonefish) is the source of this 2299-nucleotide long non-coding RNA. NCBI's taxonomy places the organism in Eukaryota, Metazoa, Chordata, Actinopteri, Pomacentridae. The record is from Ensembl.
AAAUAAGUGAAAUUAUUUUUUCGCUAGCUAAUUAAAUGACAAAUUUGUUACCUGUCUCAUCUAAGUAGGGAGCUACAGCCAGGAUGCAUUUAGCUUAGCUUAGCAUGAAGACAGAAUCCAUGGGUAAACAGCUUGACUGCUCUCACUGUAGUUUAAAAAUACCCCAAACAGGCGACUCAAUUUAAUUUUAUGUUUAAUAGCUGGGACAUUUUGUAGAAGUGAAGUAGUUAAAGCACAUGGCUAUUUGGGUACAAAUCAAACACAGAGGAUUCAUUGUGUUAUGUAGUGUUUUUAGGCGUAUUCUUCCACUUUUUAAAGAGCCAGGCUAGCUGUUUCCCCUGUUUCCAGUAUUCAUGCUAAGCUAUUCGAGUCAUCUUCUUGUUUGAGAUAGGGCCCUAGGAUCCUUGGUCUUGGCUAAUUCUCAAAGAGAAACUUAAUAAUUGUUUUGUCAGAAUUUGGAGCUAUUCAUGGAAAUCUGACAGCGGUUAUUGUCUGUAUGAAUAAAAAUAUAUAUCCAUCCAAAUCUCAAGUAAAGCUACAUUUUGGUUGACAUUAGCUACCUAAUGUCAACAUAGCAUUGACGUGAAUUUUGUUCUUACAUGGUUAAGAGUAUUUUGGAUUUAACUGACUUGUGAAGCUUUCCAUACCAACUGUUACAGAACCCAAGUUUUCAGCUUGCUGUUAUGAGCUGCAUUUCUAAUAACUGCACAUCUACCCACAAGACUUCGAACAUGGCAGUAGGCUAACUGCCUUUAAUGCAGAGGAUCAUGAAUUCUGCAAAUUCUUCAAAUGCUUUAUACUCCAGAGCCAAACAAUCUGCUGUUUACAUACCAGGAGUGUGCAGUAGACUAGAAUACACUUGUCAGGUAACUCACCUUUCCUCCAAUCACUCAUUUCACCAGCAUUUCACAAGAAAGCCUCUCUGCACACUCACUUUGAACAUCUAGAGAUUAUGCAUUUUGCAGUUUAGCUUCAUUCAUUCAUGUGACCAGUUUGACAUUUUUUUCAGUUGUAUGGGUUAUCUAGUAAAUAUGCUGUACAUUAUGUGGUAGCAGUUUAAUAAUUGCACCAUCCCUUUACUUUGCUGCACAAACUGGGCUCUUCCUGGAAAACUACCACUGAUUAAAGAUAGAACAGUAUAUUACAGACACCUAUGUUUUUGAUUAGUUUGACAAUCAGAUAUUGGUGUUUCAUGUUGUCAGUCCAGAUGAGGUCCUUAUCAUGGGGUGCUACAUCUUGAAAUCAUGCUAAAUGUCCAUUGAAAAUACCAUUUGACAACCAGUCUGACUAUCUGUUCAACUACCUAUCUUACUUUUGCCUCUAAUCUAAACAGGGUCAAAUUGUAUGAUAUUGUAUGCUAAUACACUGCUGUUGGCAAAUUGUUCUCCAAUAAGCAUGGCUUCCAUUCCUGAGCACUGCACUUGUGGCAGGUUGAUUUAGUUGAAAGGACAAUACUGGGAAGAUAAGCAGAAGUAUCCUUUUGAAAGACUGACUUCAUGGGAACAAAAGACGCAUUAUUAGAAGCCGCUAUAUCUAUUAAUGACAAAUAGUUAAAUUUAUCUAUUUAAGGAGAAAAAAAACAUUUUCAACUGCAUUUGUAAUCUUACAGGCUGUGCCAACAUACUAGGAGUGGCCAUCCUGAGUAAUGAUUAAAAUAGUGACCAUAACCAACUUUCCAUCCAAAUCUAGCCUCUCUCUUACUGUGUUCUUCAAAGAGAAACUCAACAUUUGUGGAAAUAUGCUUGUUUGCUUUCUUUUCCAGUGUGAGAUGAAAAGAUUGAUUCCACUAUUGUAUGUUAUGUACAGAACUGGAGUCAAGGGGCAAGCAGUCUAGCUUAGCAACAGCAAGCUCUGUGAAUUUAUACAACUAAUGCUUCACUACAGAGCUUGUUCCAGGAAUUAAGAGCGAAAGGGAGAUAUGUGUGCAUUGAGAAUAUGUUGGUAUCUGGUUCUGUACUUAACACACAAACAUGCACUGAUGUCAUUUAUCUCUCUUUUAUUUUAAAAAAGUAGAUGAGCACAUUUUAAGAAAUAGUGUAUUAUUUGUUAAAGAUGUGUUAUGCCAUCCAGUGGACUGAUCAGACCAAACCACUGAGUAGGUACCAGAAAACAUCAGCGACUCUUUGGCCUGCCAGACGGUACCCAGUACAAAACAGUAUCGUCUCUAAUCUCCACGGUCACUUUUCACGGCAUUGUUGAAUAAAUGUUAUUUAUUUUAUAUAUUAUGUAUAAAGGAUUUGCCUAUUAUUUGAUGUGAUUUUACUGAUUGGUAAAAAAAAAAAAUAAAUAGAUGUCCAAU